RNAcentral lists this ribosomal RNA (478 nucleotides) under uncultured Planctomycetales bacterium. Its description in RNAcentral is "bacterial SSU rRNA". It matches the Rfam family "Bacterial small subunit ribosomal RNA", at positions 365 to 833 of the family's 1533-position model. Lineage: Bacteria; Pseudomonadati; Planctomycetota; Planctomycetia; Planctomycetales. The record is from RNAcentral.
UUCGCAAUGCCCGAAAGGGUGACGAAGCGACGCCGCGUGUGGGAAGAAGGCCUUCGGGUUGUAAACCACUGUCGGGAGUUAAGAAAUACAAGGAUAUUAAUAGUGUCUUUGUUUGACUAACGCUCCGGAGGAAGCCACGGCUAACUCUGUGCCAGCAGCCGCGGUAAUACAGAGGCGGCAAGCGUUGUUCGGAAUUAUUGGGCGUAAAGAGCACGUAGCCGGCUAUGUAAGUCGGUUGUGAAAGCCUUCCGCUCAACGGAAGAACAGCAUCCGAUACUACAUGGCUUGAGUGCGGGAGGGGAGAGUGGAACUUCUGGUGCAGCGGUGAAAUGCGUAGAUAUCAGAAGGAACGCCGGCGGCGAAAGCGGCUCUCUGGCCCAUAACUGACGCUGAGUGUGCGAAAGCUAGGGGAGCAAACGGCAUUAGAUACCCCGGUAGUCCUAGCCGUAAACGAUGGGCACUAAGUAGAGGGGUUUUA